This is a long non-coding RNA of Lycium barbarum (goji berry), 4977 nucleotides long. RefSeq lists it as uncharacterized. The transcript is spliced from 12 exons. Lineage: Eukaryota; Viridiplantae; Streptophyta; Magnoliopsida; Solanales; Solanaceae. The record is from RefSeq and is a predicted model, not a curated record.
CUAUGUAAUUAUGCCUUAGGUUAUAACUUACAGGCGCCUUUUAUCCUACCCUUAAAAUAGACACGUAGCACACGCUUUCAAGCUUGAUUUCAUUCCGACCCUAGUAUCUUCUACAUCUUUCACUCCACUAUUUCUCCCUCUUCACUUCUUCAUCGCUACCUCUUUCUCUGCUGAUUUUGUAUAUCUCUAUUUGAAUUCUCAAUAAUAUAUAAAUCGGGAGGAAUUGCAGACGGAAAUUGUUCAGGGAUGAAAAAGAGGUUAAGAGACGCGGGAGAAGAUUAUCUACUUGUGCCUUUGAUAUUCUCACGGUGAAUUGGAGAAUAUCAGGUAGUUGAUAGACAGCUGCCACGUGCUGUUUCCAUAGGUUUUCGACAAACAUGCUUUGUUCUGAAGAGUUACUUGAUGCAUGGUAGCAAAUACGAUAGUUCCUUAAGAAGUAAGGAGGAUACCCAUGCUGAAUUAAAUGCAUUUUUUCAGAGCUGUGGGUGAGACGUGCUAGAUGAAAUAAUAGAUGCUAACUUCUUCGUCUUUGUGGUUUGACGUGUACAUUUGCAGCCAUCGAGGCUCUUAAAUGUCAAAAAUAUGUCCAAAGGUGUUACUUAAUGCAGUGUUGUGUAUGCCAUAAACAGUAACUAUAAAAACAAAUGGCUCAGGAGACCUUGCAAGUUUUCUAUUUUCUCUUUUCAAAGUGGAAAAACCAGCCUGCCGAAUGGAUUGACUAAUGCGUCUCAAAUUACUUCCUUUGGCAGACAAGAGGAAGAAAAUAGUCUAUGUGGAGUAUUUUAGCAAGAGGCUGAACUCAAGCAGUUAGUAUAUUAUGUGAAAGAAAGCCAGAUGAAAUGGAGAAACUGGUAACUCAGUAACUGCUUCUCAAUAGAAAUGAAGGAAAAUUAUUUUACAUUUCUUGCCAUGAAUUUUCUGGACUUCAAAAUUGGUGUAAACAAAGGGAUGGAAAAGAGGUUAAGAGACGCAGGAGAAGAUUAUCUACUUGUGCCUUUGAUAUUGUCACGGUGAAUUGGAGAAUGUCAGGUAGUUGAUAGACAGCUGUCAGGUAAUUUCUUUUUAAUUCAUUGUUUUUCUCUUUUUAGCUUUAAUAUCUUUUGUGAUUUCUGUGUUUGAUAUAGAUUUUAACUUUUUAAUCCAUUCCAAUUAUAACAGUUGUCGAAUCUGAAUUUGAAAUUAUCAAGUUUCAUGUGAUUUGAAUGUUGAAUAAUUUUGAUAUUACGCUCAGAAAAUGCAGAAAAUUCAUAGUCGCCUCGAUUAACCAGAUCCCAUGGGAUAGCAGUCGUUUAAUUUUCCUUUAAGUACUCAUAAAUCUUUGAUGUUCAACACCUGGGAGUUAACGCCCCAGGCUAUAAGCUGGCUUUAAGGUUUGUCAGCCCACUUCCCCUGAGAAACCAUCUUGCCCUCAACAUUUAUAUGAGUGGAUGCAGCUAGCAAUUCUUAUUAACGCACCAACAACAAUAACAGCUACGUUCAAACUGGUCGUUCCUUAUUAGCAAACCAAAAUUUUGAAAAUGUUACACCGAAGAUAGGAGACAAAAGCCACUCUGUUAUUGUACCUGUUAUCUGGAAGGUAGGAUAUUACUCUUCAGUGUAAUAUUUAUGAAGAUUUGUUUGUGGAUUAUUGGUUAAGAAAAUUUAUUGAUAUCUUUAAAAGGAAUAUUAUAAAGUUGAGUCAAAUUGGGCGGUUGGGUUGUGACUCAUCAUUUAGCCCAUCUUGAUCUAAUCCAUCUUUGUUCAAGCAAGCUUCGGGCAGAGUUGGCAUUGGUCAUGUUCAUACCUGAGUUAUAAUCGAGAGGGUUAUGCUUUGCUUUAGCACCUGAUGUCACGUAACAGGAAGCAACUCUUCAUAUGUAUGUACUGGCAUAUAUAAAGAUGCAACGCAAUUUGACUUGCAUGUCUAUCGUAAAGGUAAUUAAUGUUCUGGAGAAACUAAAAGUAUGUCAUUCAGGUGCUGUUUCCAUAGUUUUUCGACAAAAUUCACAAAAUUAAGAAUUAGUGAGGGAGUUGAAGGAAAAGAAGUAUACAAAGAGUACAGAUAAAUUUAAGAUGAUUCACAUCUACAAAAAACCAGCCUUUGCGUUCAACUAAGGGUGCUUACGUUGAGCUUUAGAGAUUGUCUCUGUUUGCUAUAGAAACAUGCUUUGUUCUGAAGAGUUACUUGAUGCAUGGUAGCAAAUACGAUAGUUCCUUAAGAAGUAAGGAGGAUACCCAUGCUGAAUUAAAUGCAGUUUUUCAUAGCUGUGGGUGAGACGUGCUAGAUGAAAUAAUAGAUGCUAACUUCUUCGUCUUUGUGGUGAGAACCGAAUUUGUUAUCCAUUUUUUAUGUCAAUUGAAUUUGAAUUUUAAGUAUCAGAUAUUUUUUCUUCAAUUUGUAGCUUGACAUCAACUGCCAUAAAAUCGUAAAAACUUUAGCCUUUAGCUCACUAGCAUCAUGAUAUGUUGAAGCUUACUUUAGAUCAUACUGUCGUUUAGAGGGUAAGCAAACAGGCCAGCACAAAGAACAAACUGGAGGGCACUCUGCGAAUAUUGAAUUUGUACUUUAUAUCCUUUCAUGUUAUCUGGAUCUAUUGGUGUUCUGAAAGUACACCAAAUCCUCUUUAUAAUAUUUUUCUUUCAAAUAUGAAAAUAAAAAAGAAUAAAUCUAUUUUUGGCACUCUUCUAAAUUUCAAUUUCUUUUAAUUGACUGGUGGUUACCUGCUUUUUAUGGGUGCUUGAAGACUUCUCCUUAAUAUUGUGAUUUUUGGAAUGGUAAAGAUUGGCUGCGACACUGGUGAAAACAGCCCCUGCUAGAUGUUCAAGAUGAAAACAAAUAUGUCUGUGAUGUAUAGGUGGAUGGAUAUAUUUUCUAUAAUUUCUUUGGGUAUUUUGUCUAUAAUAUAAUAUUAGAAUGGUUCUUCUAGACAGUGGAGCAAGGCCCUUCCUCACAUAUAUUGUACAUAAGAGUAUCCUAUUAAGUUCUUUGAUUAAGUUUUACAAAUUGUCAUGUAUUUCAUCUUCUACAAAUGCAACAACAGUUUUCUCGGCAAAUUAAAAACAAAAACAAAAACCUUCAGGGGUUAAAAAACAAUUGCAAGGAGCAGAUAAAAAAGCAAAAUAUAAAAAAUAAAAAAUCAACCUAAAAAUAAAAACCUGCAAGGGUAAAAAAACAAGGGAUUGCGAGGAGCGGAAAAAACCCUAUGAAAUUCAAACAUGGGAGAACUAACUGAUCCACCUUCUCUUACUCAUAUAUGUUCCACUCCUGUUCUUUGUUUCUUCUUUACAGUCGUUUUCGAUUCCCCUUUUUCAAAAUUGGCUUUAAUUGUUCACUAUACCAGAUAAAUCAAAGCCUGAGAUACCGUUUUCCAGUGAGAUGAUCUUACAAGAUUAAGAGGUAACAGGAUAUAAUAUUACUUUUUGUACUUUUUCAAAUUCCUGUAUUAUGAUCAGGAGACAGUAUUACUUUUUUUGUCUACCUUCAUCAUUCUUCUCUUUUUUCAGUAUUUUGAUAAGCCUUCAUGCUGUUUUUUUCUCAUAAUCUUAGUGUCGUUUGAAUCUUAAAGGAAAGUUAGAGUCGUUCAAAAAUAUCUGACAUGUGAAUGUUGUUCAUCAUCUGUACUUUUUGCAGGAACAUUUUAUUAGAUGAUGUGUUCACUUUCGUUUCCAUUUAUUUACAGCGCUUCUUUUUUGUUUUUGCAUAUCACUAUUUUUAGCUUACUAUGUUUCCACUGGCCUCAAACUGUUUUUGGGAAAGUGUAGUUUUGGACAAAAUAUGCUGAGCAUUAAUUCAAGAGAGAUCAUUAUGGAUUAACGACCAAAUUUAAAUAUAAACCGUCUUCUUAAGAUUAAUUUUUAAUUUAUGGUGUUUCGCUGCGUAACAGGAUCCACAGUUUCAUGAUGGACAAAGCUUUGGUGGAGAGAAGGUUUUUCAGGAAAAACCAGCCUGCCGAAUGGACUGACUAAUGCGUCUCAAAUUACUCCCUUUGGCAGACAAGAGGAAGAAAAUAGUCUAUGUGGAGUAUUUUAGCAAGUCUGAACUCAAGCAGAAAGAAAGCCAGAUGAAAUGGAGAAAAGCUGCUUCUCAAUAGAAAUGAAAGUUAUUUUACAUUUCUUGCCAUGAAUUUUCUGGACUUCAAAAUUGGUGUAAACAAAGAUUGAAGUAGUGAAUGUAUCAGUUGUCCAGUCGAGAAACAAGAGGUGUUUUCUAAGUGACGAUGUCAACGACAUGAGAAAAUAAGAGAAUGUGCUGAGCUCAAAUUGUGCUUCAGAUGCCUCUUUAGCAAUACAUUGUUCCUUCCAGUUUACACUGACUAUUAGCGUUCUGCAAUUUGGUGAAGAAAAUUGUCAUAUGGAUGAAACUUUGUUGGAAUACCAAGCGCACGCCGUGGCAAGGCAGAUACCUUCUCUGUGAGAGCUCGCUAAUCAAAUAGUUGAACUGUGUGAAGCUUUAGGAGUAAAAUGUGCAGUAGUAAGCCUUUGUAUCCCUUUUUAGGUGAAGUAAGCAGAAAUGGUUAACAGAUUGUAAUCUCUUUGCCAACAAUUAGUUUUUAAAUUAGCUAAUAUAUGAGGCAGAGUUGGUGACUCAGAGGUGGAGUUAUGGAAGUGCAUGCUAAGUUGCUACCAAAGGAGUACCAGCUGUACGGCCGGUGGUCUACUGGUUAUGCUGAAUGAAAGGCACCCCCAGUUGAAAUUCCACCUCUCUCCAAUCUCAAUGCCUUUGUUGAUUACUUCUGGCUGCAGAUUUCUACAUCAGUCACUGUCAUGUAAUACUUACAUUGCCUUCUACUUACGUUAGUGUUAUUUGUAUAGCAGUAUUUCCUUUUGUUUCGUGCAAUUGAAAUGUGUCGACAGUAAUAGAAUGUAAAACUCUUUUUGCUUUCUUGAGGCGAUAUUUCAUGUUGGGAAGAACAUUCAUUAUUUAUGAUAAACCUGAUUUGAAAUAAUGACAGUUUAUAUUAACUGUAUUUAUUUAGAAAUUGAAGUAGUGAAUGUGUU